GCUGGCUUCUGCAUCCUUACUUCCUCAUUAGGGGGACUUCAUUAGCUCUUGAUGAUGGGGCUCGGUGCUGCCAGGGGUGGAGGAGAGGGGGACCAGCCAGUGCCCAGGCCAUCUGUGCUGGAUCUUCAGUCCCUCUCCAGUUCCCCUUCGUGGCCCUCUCACCUAGCCGGGCUGGGGGGAGGAAGGCUGGCCACUAUGGAGGACAGGUGCCAUGUGGAGCAUCGCUGCUGCUUUCCAUCAUUCUUCUACCAGCUGCUGCCUCUGUCACUGAAGCCUCAGUGCUGGGUCAGGAGUGAUGGCUGCUGAGCAUCCCUGAAGUGGCUCGGGGGUGGG
This 333-nucleotide long non-coding RNA is filed under the name Ictidomys tridecemlineatus (thirteen-lined ground squirrel). RNAcentral describes it as "lncRNA (ENSSTOG00000031547.1)". Lineage: Eukaryota; Metazoa; Chordata; Mammalia; Rodentia; Sciuridae. The record is from RNAcentral.